UUUUUUUUUUUUUUUUUUUUUUUUUACUAUUCUUUCAUUGUCUCAUCACAUUCAAGAGCCCGACCAUGCUGUCUUGGCACAGAUUCACAAUCCUGAGAUGGUAAUAAAUAUCUGCUGAUGGUUUACUUUACACAUUUUUGAUUCAGUCCUUAACCCCCUGCUAUUUUUUCCUUCUCAGCUUCUCUGAGCUGUCCUUCCUUUCCAUCUCAACAAAUUCCUUGUCCACACCAAGGUUAAUUUUGCCCCAUCUGUGGUUAGUUAACUCACAAAUGAUCUUUUACAGCUUCUUCCCCCUGGAGCUGCUGGUGUUUUUUAUUUUCAGCCUUUAAAAAAAUGUUACAGAGUGGAGUGCUCUGCCCACUCCCCACCCCACAACCUGCUGUGGCACCUCUGGAUGGGCAGAGGGUCUUGUGUGGUCUGUCUCACCUCCUGUGGACUCGUGACUCAGGCUGUCCCCUCAACUGAUCAACCAAGACAAUCUUUUUUUCCUGUCAAAGUUUAAUUCCUUCUAAUUCUUUAAUUGUAAUAUAUCCUAUUUGUGUCUUUCUUAUACAUUUUAUCAUAUAUUUAUUUUUACUGCAUUAAAUUGAGAGCCUGGCUGCAUUUGAAUUUACAUUUGUUAGCUGUUUGCAUAAUGGCAAUUAUAAUAGUAAAAUUUUAAAUGGGAGCAAUAAUAGUAAAUAUCUCAAAGCGGUGAAGAUAGAGUUACAUUACUUAUCUGCAGCACUUAGAAUGGUACGGAGCACAUGGAAGUGCUCCACAUGUCAACCCUGCAAGGUAUGGCAGGUGAUGUCCCAUUUCAUAGAGAAUGGAACAGAAGAACCAAGAGGUGAGGUCACCUGCUUGACAUCUCGCAGUUGUGGGGAGGAGUUCGGGCAGUGGGCGUGGGUAUUUUAACUCCUGGUUAUUAUUGCCUUUACCAUCUCAGGGUUGUCAGAUUUAGAAAAAAAAAAAAA
RNAcentral lists this long non-coding RNA (956 nucleotides) under Homo sapiens (human). Its description in RNAcentral is "novel transcript, sense intronic to ARID1B". Lineage: Eukaryota; Metazoa; Chordata; Mammalia; Primates; Hominidae. The record is from RNAcentral.